UUAAAGGUAGACGCAUUUGGUUGGAACAAGUAUCCUGUCUACAUUAUGAUGAAGAGAGGACAGGAGGGUGAAAUUUCUUGGAAAAAAGUCUCUUUGAACACCAAUAAUGGUAAUGGAAACCAACCAUUUGAGAUAUUAGGUGAGCUGAUGAAGACGGAGAAGCACAUGACUGAUACUAAGCUUUAUUUUGGUUUAUAUGAAGUGUGGAGUGGGAAGUGGAAAGGAGGCCUGCAAAUUCACGGUGCCUUUGUCAGAGAAGCAGCAUCUUAAGUGCAAAUUCCUUCUUUACAAUGAAUAAUGUAUUAUCUGCUUUAUAUUUUUGAAAGUUAUUCAAUCAGAAAAUAAGAGGCAUGAGAGAAUUAAAGUGAAGAAAAUUAUGUAUUGAUAUUCGAGAUAAGCCAGAUUUAUUUGCUGGCAGCGCUGUAUUAAUUGUAAUACAUUAGAGAUGAUUGGAGCUCAUGAUGUUUUCUUUUUGUAAUAAACUUCAUCACUUUUCCUCAUUCAAGUUGUGAGUUUCAUCCACUAUUAUCUCAUUCUCUUUGGUGGUAGGAUGAACUCCAUUGAUUUCGAUACCUCAUGUUUUUGCCCCCCAAAAAUACUAGCUAGUACAGUAGUACCUCUGAGUUUACCUAUGUUAUGUAUCCUUAAUAGGUUGUCGUUGCAUGUGAUUUCAUGAAAGUGUCGCAAGAUAAUUUUUAAACAAAUAUUUAAAUAAAAAUAGUUUAAAAUUUGAUUUUCAGUGCCAUACACCACUAAAAAUGUUCAAAGUCGGAAUCUGGAAGAUCGGAGCUGUACACUACUAAACAUGAUGAAAUCUAAGUGCUCAAACCAGAUGAAUGUUUACUGGAAAUUCCUGAUAUAUUAUUCUAAAUCAUCUCUUUUUGGGUGUAAUGAAAAAAAUACAUGCAAAUGAUACCAUGCUGCUGUUUAGAACUGAUACAAAAAAUGAAAUAAAAGGAUAUCCGACAGACACUAACGUAAAAAAUCAAGAAAUGUGUACAGAAUGUUACAAUACAAUAUUCCUACAUCACAUAAUCACAUGCACUGGUAUAUCUGUAACUGAAAAGAUUGUGUAUGAAAAAUGCGUUGAGAUCCUCAAUCAGUAUCACCAUGAGAAAGCCAUUGUUCAUGGCGAGCAUCAAGCCAAUAGUUUUUCAAUUUUGCCGCCCGAUUUGCCUAAUAAUUUCAAAGAAAAAGUAUACAUUAUAACUUUAAAAUUCACAAAAUUAGAAAUUUAAUAUACAGAAGAUAGCAUAGCAAAGGAAACAUCACGACAGCAAUAAGGGGAACAAAGGUAGGACAAAUGGAAUAGAGUAAUGCUAUUCACAAUGAAGACUAUCGAUAGUCGCCUAUGUGGUAUACACAUGACAGUUUAUUAUUUGACGCAUUAAUAUGGUAGUUUUUUAUUGUCUCAUACAUCAAAUAACAAAUUGCUUAUAUAUGUUACGUAAGGCAACUAUUGAUGGUCUUCACUACGAAUAACAUUAUUCAAUGGGAAAUGAGGGGUUCAUUUUGAGUUUUUAAUGUUAGUUAAUUUAAUCAAGAGGAAAUUUCACGUAAUGUCCAUUUUCAGCGAGUCAUUUGCAAAAAUGUCCACAAUUUUGUCAAUGUCCAUUUUCCAAUUAUGUAGACGAAAAUACCCUUGUUAGAAAAUAUUAUUUCCACACAAGAAUUCAAAAUUUUCCAUAUCAUUAUUCAUGUCAAUCAACGUAGAAAUAUCAAUCAGCAUUAGAUAUUUGGGUCGGGUAGGUGUGGGUCGAUGUGGGUCGGGUUAUGGGUCGAGUAGGUGCGGGUCGAGUUGGAUCGGGUUAUGGGUAAAAAAUGGAAAACCUGAUAGAACCCGACCCGAAUACAAAAAAAUAAAUAAAUAAAUAAAUAAAUAAAAUGAAGGCGGGGGAAUGAAAAAAUAAAAGAAGCCCUAAACUAAGUCCUCUCAACUCUCACUCUCAGUCUCUUAAUCUUCACUCCGACCCAACCCGCCGACAAAGAGCCUGUCCAUUUCUCUCUUAUUUUCCCAAUUGUCGUUUGCCUACCAGACUUCAGAGUCCAGUGCUAUAAAGUUAGUUUAUUUCGUUAUUUUUUUCUUUAUUUCGUUAUUUUUUUCACUUCCCCAAGUCUCCCCUCUUCCUAAAUCCUAAGAUUUAGCUAGUUUAACAUAAAUUGAUGUCAAGGUCACUGAGUGUCUCGAUUCUAUUGGGCGAGCAAAUACUAACUGUUGAUACAAUUUGAGAUAAAAAGUGGUACAUGUGAGAUAUUGUCGAAAAGGUUGAAGAGGUAAAGUGUUUAAAGAAAUCAGGAAAAUGAUUGUACUUUCUGUUGUCCCUGUUAUUGUAUCUUUUGCUUUGAGAUAUAAUCUAUAUGUCAACUAAAUUUGAUGAUACUAGAUGAUAAAUAACACUAGUACGAAGUGAAAAAUACUCCAUUUGAGGCAUAUUUCACAUCUAAGUUAGGCAAUAAACAUGAUGAAAUGACACAGGUUGUGUUGCUAUUAUACACUCUUAGACCGUUUCAAUGUUCGUCAGCAACUAAAUGGCUUCAUUUUCACAUCAAAUUUGUUUUGCAUCUUGUUGAGGGUUGCAUUUGUAUAUUGAUGGUUUCUUAUGGAGGAAGACUGUGAUAGGUUGAUAGCAGAUAGAACACUUUGUCAAAUCUUAUGACAUGUAUACUUGAUUUUGCGUAUGGUCUGUUGUUAUUUAUUUUGCUAAAGAAUAUUGGAUUUUCAGUUUAUUUGCAUAUCUAAAUUAGGCAAUUAACUUAAUGAAAUUGUAGAAGAUUGUGUGUAUACUUUUGGACUGUUUGAAUGGUGAUCAACUAUAAAAUGGUUACAUGAUAGCUUCAGAUCAGAAAUUAGGUUUGUUUUAAUUUCAACAAUUAAACAAUUUAGUUUAGAUAUGGUAUUUUAUCAAACCAUUGUAUUGUAAAAAUUAUUUUUCUUUCACUACAUUUUAACAAGAAUGUUAUAUUUGAUUUCAUUUGUACGUUUUCAUACUAUUUGUUAAAGUAUUGUUUUCAUUUGUUUUGAUUUGUAGAUGAGUAUGACACACCAAUAUAAAAUUCCGGAGGAAGAACGUGUUCCGACCCAUGUGUCGCAAGUGAGCAACACAAAAUAUAUAUCAGCUGUCCUCAACAAAUUGGAUCCACAGCAAAAGCGUCAGUUGGAGGACAGUUGUAUAGGACAUGUUGCAAGGUUACCGGAGCUGAAACUAUCUGCUCAAUUAAUUCAUGAAAUGGUAAACAGAUCGGUGGUAUGCCGAAAGCUGUUUAAGGCUUGGUUCAAGGUGAACCAAAGGUUUGCACGAUUUGGACUGUCGGAGUUCGCACUAAUUACUGGCUUGAAGUGCAGUCCAGUGCCUAAAGGUACUGAAGUUGACAAAAUCCUAGAGAAAACCCGUCUACAAGAUAAAAUGUUUGCUAAUAUGGACCGGAUAACGUGUAGCGACCUGGAGAAAGUUUUUUUGAAAUGUGCCAACCGUAACGAUCGUUACAAGCUUGGGUUGGCACUAAUUAUUGAAGGGGUAUUUAAUUCAAGAGAUCGAAAUGUAGGAAUAAAUUCGACAACUCUUUCCAUCAUUGACGACUUGGAUUUUUUCAAUGCCUACCCAUGGGGGACAGUAUGUUUUCAACUUCUCAUCAAAUCACUACUACAUGGAUGGGGAAGAAAGGCGGACAUGGUAAAAGUGAAUGAUUGUGAUAAGAUGACUUACACAUUGUACAGAUUCCCUCUUGCUGUCCAGGUAUACAUCUAUUUUGGUUUAUUUCAGUUCUUCCCAUCGCUCAUUGUUAUUUAUCUCCAAAUAUGGUUAUUACUGUUACAAAUGUCAUGCAGAUUUGGGCGUACGAGGCAAUUUCGGAGUUGGGAGCUCGAUUCUCGAGUAAGACUUUUGACGAUGUCCCGAGGAUGUUGCGGUGGUCUGGCACAAAACAACCUCAUUCCCGAACAUAUUCAGAUUUUUUUGAGAAGACAAAUGUAGGCGAUUUACAUACUUAAUUGCCUUACACUUCGCAAUAUAUAUUUUUUCAUUUCGCCUAUUUUUCUUCUCCUGUAGGUGCACUUGUGGGCAACGCUACGAGCAACUACUGCAGAAGAAUUGCAGCCGUACUUCGUCAAUCUAGUUCCGUUGGAAGACGCAGUCGACCCCGUUUUAGAUGGUCUUGUUGUUCAAUCAAUAGAAACACAAGCUUGUCCAGUUGAAGAUGAUGUCAUACGGAACGAUGACAACAACCAUCGACCAAAUAAAUCCCAGAGAGGCAACAAAGGUGGACCUCGUCAUCGAGAUUUGUAUCUCGUUGAAGGCAGAGAAGAAGAGUAUGGGGAUCCGAUCGUUGAAAGACCUGUGUCUUUAGAUGAGAUAAGAGUUAUCUUGAAUGAACAGCGGGAGGCAUUUGAGAACAAGAUGGGGGAUUUGAGGGAAGAAAUGAACACAAGAUUCGCUAGUCUCCAAAAUGAUCUAAGAGGUCAUGUGUGUGGUUUGAAAAAUCAUGUCACUGAUAAGAUGAAUGUUCUUCGACGAAGGUUUGAUGAAGUUGCUACAGAAAUUGGACAACACAAUGUUGGUGCUGAGUAUGGUGGAUUUGGUCAUGACGAUCGCAGUGGAGACGAGCCCCAACAUGAUGUUUUCACUCCCAAUAUUUCUGCGGACAGACAGGAUGUCGGAGAGGCAACCGAACCAGCUGUUUGCAAUAUCCCUGAUGUGUCCAUAACGUCGGGAGGUGGGGUUGGAGUACUUGGGUCAGUAUAUGUAGCUAUUGAUAUUGUGAAAGAGGCACCAUCCGUUGUACCUACAGUUGGUAUGACCAUUGAUGAUCAACUGGUUCAUGAUAGCGUCGUUUCUGGACCUUCGAUGGCAGCUGAUCCACCUACACGUAGACCUCGAUCGUUGAGGCUGAAGAAGGCUAGUGCAAACACAAAGACACCAUACACCCGACCUGGUCGCAAGAGGGGUAAGAGGGAUGAGUAGAAUUUAUAGGUUCACCUAUUUUGAUUUAUAUGGUGGUUUUUCAAUAUGUAUUUUGGUUUAUGUCGUGGUACGAAAAAUGUAUUUUGGUUUAGACAGUGGUUUGCAUAUUUUUGUUUAUAUGGUGGUAUGUAAUAUUUUGUGGUACGAAAAAUGUAUUUUGGUUUAGACAGUGGUUUGCAUAUUUUUGUUUAUAUGGUGGUAUGUAAUAUUUUGUGGUACGAAAAAUGUAUUUUGGUUUAGACAGUGGUUUGCAUAUUUUUGUUUAUAUGGUGGUAUGUAAUAUUUUGUGGUACGAAAAAUGUAUUUUGGUUUAGACAGUGGUUUGCAUAUUUUUGUUUAUAUGGUGGUAUGUAAUAUUUUGUGGAUGCAAAUUGGUGGUUUAUAAGUUAGUGACAUGUUCCGAAUGUUGUAUGUUGAAAAUAGUUUAUAAUUUUAUUAUCUCAUAUAGUGGAGUAGGAGAUGUCAAUGUUCUAAUGAAAUGCGGAGAAAUCCUAUACUUUAGUUGAAAUGUCAUUCUAUACAAAUGUACUGUCAAGUGUCCAGAUUAGCAGACAUUUAAUGUCGAGAACUACACGUCAAUGUCAAGAAAUGAGUGAAAUGUCAAGAAAUAUAUUGUUUCAAUAUAAAUAUUAACGUCCCUUAUAUAUUUUUUUUCAAUAAUAUAUGAAUAUAUGUGUCAUUUUGUGUGAUCAUGUAUGUGGAAAUAAAAUAAACUUCGUGCUACUUAACAGUUAGUAAGGAAAAAUUGAUUAACUCAGUUAACUUUAAUAAAUUAAAGAAAUUUAUCGAAUACUUUUUUUUCAAUGUAAAAUUUGAAUUGUACAAAACGUUAAUUUUUUUUUUGUGAAUAUAAAAUUUUAAUGGAACAAAAUGAAUUAAAAAGAAAUUUAUAAUUUGUUAAAAAGUUUCAAAUUGCAACACAAGAAAGUUUAAAGAAACCACUGAUAUAUAUAUAUAUAUAUAUAAUGUGUAAAAAAUAUUCAAUUAUGACAACAUAACAAGCGAAUAUAUUCACUAUAUACAAAUUUAUCAACAACAUUCAAUUAUCGUAACACAACAAAAUGGUUCUGACAUUUACUCACAUGCACACUUUUAGCUACUUUUUCUCGUUCAUUCAUUAUCCUCACAUUCACUCCCCCAUCCACACAUUUAGCUACAAUUAUUUGUCACAUUCACUCACUCUNNNNNNNNNNNNNNNNNNNNNNNNNNNNNNNNNNNNNNNNNNNNNNNNNNNNNNNNNNNNNNNNNNNNNNNNNNNNNNNNNNNNNNNNNNNNNNNNNNNNNNNNNNNNNNNNNNNNNNNNNNNNNNNNNNNNNNNNNNNNNNNNNNNNNNNNNNNNNNNNNNNNNNNNNNNNNNNNNNNNNNNNNNNNNNNNNNNNNNNNNNNNNNNNNNNNNNNNNNNNNNNNNNNNNNNNNNNNNNNNNNNNNNNNNNNNNNNNNNNNNNNNNNNNNNNNNNNNNNNNNNNNNNNNNNNNNNNNNNNNNNNNNNNNNNNNNNNNNNNNNNNNNNNNNNNNNNNNNNNNNNNNNNNNNNNNNNNNNNNNNNNNNNNNNNNNNNNNNNNNNNNNNNNNNNNNNNNNNNNNNNNNNNNNNNNNNNNNNNNNNNNNNNNNNNNNNNNNNNNNNNNNNNNNNNNNNNNNNNNNNNNNNNNNNNNNNNNNNNNNNNNNNNNNNNNNNNNNNNNNNNNNNNNNNNNNNNNNNNNNNNNNNNNNNNNNNNNNNNNNNNNNNNNNNNUGUGAUCAUGUAUGUGGAAAUAAAAUAAAUUUUGUGCUACUUAGCAGUUAGUGAGGAAAAAUUGAUUAACUCGAUCAGUUUUAAUAAAUUAAAGAAAUUUAUCGAACAUUUUUUUUCAAUAUAAAAUUUUAAUUGUACAAAACGUUCAUUUAUUUUUUUGUGAAUAUAAAAUUUUAAUGGAACAAAAUGAAUUAAAAAGAAAUUUAUAAUUUGUCAAAAAAUUUCAAAUUGCAACACAAGAAAUCUUAAAGAAACCACUGAUAUAUAUAUAUAUAUAUAUAAUGUGUGAAAAAUAUUCAAUUAUGACAACACAACAAGCGAAUAUAUUCACUAUAUACAGAAUCUAUCAACAACAUUCAAUUAUCGUAAUAUAACAAAAUGGUUUUGACAUUUACUCACAUGCACACUUUUAGCUACUUUUUCUUGUUCACUCAUUAUCCUCACAUUCACUCCCCAUCCACACAUUUAGCUACAAUUAUUUGUCACAUUCACUCACUCUUCACACGUUUUAAUUAAUUUUAGCUCCUUCUCAUUCACUCCCUCAUCCACACAUUUAGCGACAAUUAUUUGUCACAUUCACUCACUCUCCUUCACCAACUCUCUACACAUUUUAAUUCAAGUUUCAUUCUCACAUUCAUUUAGCAGGAAACAUUUCCCACAUUCACUCAAAAAAGACGCUCAUUUGAUCGGAAAAGGUAAGUAAUUCAAAAUUUGUAUUUACUAUUUGUGCUACUUAAUAGUUAGUUGAAUAUCUUGAAAGAAAAUAUACUUUUAAACUACAAUUUAGUCGAAAAACUUCGUCUCUGUGUCACGGAGAUCGCUUCUCCGUGACACGGAGAGCAGCGUCUCUGUGACACGGAGAGUGUCACGGAGACACAGAAUUGCAACCACUAUUUUUUUUUGUAAUAUGUUUUAUGUCAUAUGUAAACAAAAAUAUUACAUUUUGUUUAAAAUAUUAAUUUUUUAUUUUAAUUUUGUUUAGUAUACAAGACGUGAAAAAAAUUAUAUUUGUUUGGAAAUAUUAAUUCUUAAAUAAUUGUACAAUUAACAGUACUUUGUUUUACUAUAAUAGAUGUGUACAAUCAAAUGAAAAUAUUAAUUCUUAAAAAAAUAAUUACAGUUGUUUAAAAAUAUUAAUUCUUGUAUAAUUAAUGCAGAUAUCUUUAGAAUACGUUCUCUCUCCAGAACAAUGGUUUUCUGCUACCAUCCUUCAGUAUCCAAAUCGUCAAUACGUUCAAGAUUUUGUAAAUUUCAUAGAUGCAAAUCAACAAUGUUAUUUGAUGUGUAGUAAUUUUUAUGGAUUUAUAUAUGGAGCUGUUUUCAAAGGAGACAAAGAACAAUUUACUAGCAAGUCGGUACACGAAUUUAUAAUGAGACUUGUGCAUUGUGGGAAAAACAAUGAACAUUGGGUACGGUUAGAUGACCAUCUUGCUAGGUUUGGCUUGCAAGAAUUUUGCCUCAUUACUGGACUACCUUGCCAUGAACCAUCCGUAGAAAUUGAUUAUAAUAACCAUCGUCUUAGAAAUCAAUACUUUAAUGGCACAAAAAAAAUUAGCAAUAGAAUGGUUUUUGAAACUUUCCACAUGUGUGAAGAUACAGAAGAUAAAUUUAAGUUGGGAUUAGUUAUGUUGGUUGAGUGUGUGUUGAAACCGACUUCACGACAAGUUGAUUAUAGAACUCUGGGCAUGGUUGAACAUCUGGAUGAGUUCCUUACGUAUCCGUGGGGCCGGAUAGCAUAUUUCGUUUUGUUAAAUUCAUUGAAAGAGUCACAAUUGGAAAGAAUAAUAAGGAUGCAACAGAAUGGACAGACAAAAUGUAAGUAUGCAUUACAAGGCUAUCCACUCGCAUUUCAGGUAUUAUGUUCCUAUUCUAAUUACUUACAUAUUAUGUAUAAUUUCUUUGUACAAAGAAUAAAAUUUAUACAUCACAUUUCUCUUUCUUUACUUUGCAGUAUUGGAUAUAUGAAGCGUUUCCACAAAUUGGACAAAAGUUUGGUCGCCGUAAGCACAGAACGGUGCAGAUUCCACGAAUCUAUAAUUAGAGGCCUAAUACUAUACUGAAGGAAUCAGUGGUUAAGCAAUUUUUGGAUACUCAAGAUGUAUGAAUUUUUUAUUUUCAAUGUAGAAUGACAUUCGCAUUUUAUUAUUAACAAGUUCAAUUAAACAAAUGGAUUAUGAUAGUUUGUUAUGAUUAUAGAUCGAAGUCAUUGCAGUGCUGCAGCCUACAGAGGAAGAAUUACAAACAUCCUGGUACACAAAUCUUUCUCUGCCGGCUAACGAUGAACAUAAUAUAUUAGAUGCCAUUGUCACUGGAGAAGUAGAUAAUGUAGUACCACAAAUACCAGAUAACAUCCGUGUGCAAGAAACGACCAGUCGUGGUACAUCGAGAACUUCAAUUGGAGUUGGGCCUAGUUCUGCUUAUGGUGCCUCCAGAUAUGUAACCGAAGACCGAAUGGAAGAAAUGUUGGGUAUGUACAGGCAAUAUACAAUAUCAGAUGUGUCUAGUCUGUGUGGCAACUUGAAGGCAGAAUUUGUUGAAGAAUCCAGAGCCCUGAACCAGGAUAUCCUUGAAAGCUAAAAACAACUGUUCGAACAACAUAACAAAUCAAAGCAAGAUUACAUGCUAUGUGGUAUGCAGUCAUACAUGGAUAAUUCUCUAUCAAAUAUGUUUAGCACUCAUAUGGCCCAGGAAUUGCAACAACAAGAAGCCCAUUAUCAGGCGAUUCUUUGAAAACAAGAAGAAUUAUUCCAGCAGCAACAGGAGCACAUACAGUCUUAUAUUGAUACAAGUUUAUGUUCUGUCAGAUCUUACAUUGACGAAAAGAAUGAGAAUAUGUUAAACAGAUUAUAUAUCUAAAAAUCCAACAUGGAAGCCAUUAUAGGUUCUAUGCAGCAGGAUGUUCCUCUCCAUGCAAGUCCAAAUCCUACUGUUCAACCGCAUGAGACAUCAUAUCUCAACCAGCAGAAAGUGUUGACAUGCGGAGAAGAGAAAGGGAAAAGAAGAUGAAAUACACACAGGCUUCGUCAUCUACAGGCCGUCUCUUAGAAGACUACGACAUGAACAAGUACAAAGACAUUAGGAAUUGGAUAUCGAGAAAUCAAUCUGGGUAACAAAUGUAACUCAUUCUGAAUAGUCCGAAUGCUAAACAUUAUUAUAUCUAUGUCAAAAAUUAUUUGUUGAAUUAUUUGACAGUAAUUUAAAUUAUGUUAUACAGUGUAUAUUUGGACGAUGGCCGUGGCAAUGUCUAUGGAAGAGACAUGCUAAAAAGUUUAAUAGAUCCGACGAAGGAUAUGAAUAUUGCGAUGAGUGAAGGUUUGCAAUCAUAAUAAAUUUGAUUUUGUAGUUAAUAUGUCUAAUAUAUGUUACAUAUAUUUAUUGCAUUAGCAUAUUGAGUUGGAGCUGAAGUUACUGAGGCAGCGUAUAAAUGAAGAUUGUACUCUUGUCGAUAAAAAAUAUAUAAUUUUGGAUUUUCAAUUUGAAGAGGAGUGUCGUCAGCAAAUAAGGUGGCACAUGGAAUAUAACCAGACAGGUGAAUCGGAUGGAACUUGUCUACAAGGCUAUGUCAAUGGUACAUUGCCUGUAGCUGGUCGUUCGUGGAUGGGAUGCAAGUAUUUAUUAAUUCCAAGUGCAUAUCCAGGCAAUGAAUGUUAUAUGUUUCUGGUCAAUAUUUUUGAAUGGAAAUUCUACGUAUACGACUGCAGCAAUAAUGUUCACACACCUGAUGCAAUCAAGGCUCACGCAGAAGCAACAUGCACAGUCGUUUAAACAUUAUUGCAAUGUCUACCCUUGUCCACCAGACGAGAUAUAAAGAAACAUAUAAAUGAUCCAAUGAAGAUGGAGAUUAUACCUUAUCUAUCGUGUGCGACCAAUGGGUGAGCAUUUCAACUCUUGUUAUUUACUACCGUAGUUAAUCUAUUGUAUAUACUAAAUUCGACUAACGAAAAAUCAUUUAUUGUACAGGCCAAAUUGCAUAAUGUUUGUACUCAAGUGUAUAGAAUGCUUCGUUCUCGGGUAUCCAAUAGAAUCAGUUUCAGCAGAGAGGAUGUCAAUAUACAGAAGAAAGAUUACGGUCGAUUUUUUGAAUAACGAAUACUUUCUUUAUCUCCGAUAGUGAAACAGUUGUCUUGGCUUAGUUGUACUUUGCUUGUGUGACUGUUGAUGAUCAGCCAGUUCAUGAUACCGUUGUUUGCAAUAUGUAUUUUGCUUUAUGUGGUGGUACAUAACAUGAAUUUUGGUUUUAUGUGGUGGUACGUAAAAUGUAUUUUGGUUUACACAGUGGUUUGCAUAUUUCGAUUUAUAUGGUGGUAUGUAAUAUGUUCUCGAACUGUCAUUCUAGACAAAUGAAAUAUCAAGAGUCGAGAUUCACAGCUAUGUAAUGUCGAGAACGACAUAUCAAACGUCCGAAAAUCGAAGAAAUGUAGAGAAAUAUCGUAUUUUGGUCCAAGUGUCGUUCUAGACAUUCGUAAUGUCAAGUGUCGAGAUUAACAGCUAUUUAAUGUCGAUAACGACGUUACAAAUGUCGAGAACGGCAUCAAAUGUCAACAUAAAUAUGAUCCAACCAAAUUUAACUAAGAGUGAAGGCAACCAAAUGGUGUAUUAACUACGAAAACUGUAGCAAGCAGCUUUAUAAUUACUAUAGCAGUUAAAGUUGGUAUGCCAAGCACAAGUACAUUCCUAACCAUAUUGAUGUGAAAAAAGUUGUAAAAUAAUCACCAUCAAUGACUUCAACCAUAUUGGUUGGUGAGAUAUCUUAUCGUGCAUUCAACGGACAAGUGUUUCUCCAGUAUAAAAUGUUGGACUUUACUUAAAUAUGUACAUACGAGAAUUUAACAAAUUCAUAGCACUAGUUAGUUUUUCCAUUGAUUAUGUCUUCAUCAACUCAACAUACUCCUGUUCUUGAUGUUACUAUCACUUUUGACCCCAUCCGCGGACAUCCCGAUUAUCAUAGACUCAAACUCGGAUGAUGAAAGCAAUAUCUUUGUUCCAUAUGUUCGUCAACCUUCGAACCGCCAUCGUAGGGUUUGCCUUCAACCAAUCCCUUUUCCGAAUCUAAUCGAUGAAAUUGAACCAAUUCAAGUUCAUCGUGAGAUCGUCUCAGUACCGGUCCAACCGGAAGCACAUCAUGUGUUGUUGGAUGAAAAUGUUGGAGCAGUAUCCGUCAAAAAUGAAGAUGUGAUCAUCAUAAGCUCCAAUGAAGAGUAUGACAGUAAUAUGUCCUCUUUGUCCGUCAUGGAGGAUAUGUAGAAGAUGCAGUCAUCGUAAGUGAAAUGUUUAUGUACAUAUGGUAGUGCUUUAAAAUCCAUAUAGGUGAUGGAUAUUUUUUGGGGUGAUCACCAUUUUGUAUAAUAGUUGUCUACGAUAUGUAUUGGAGUUAUGGCUUCCUUUUGUUGUGAUUACCAUUUUGUCUGCUCCAAUGACUUAGGAGAACGAGUCAUUUAUGGGUUGCUUUUGCAUCCAUUACCACAUUGUGUCUACAAUGAUUAAGAAAAUCGCAGUGAUGAAAUAGAAAUGUGCUUGUUCACUUAUAUGAUAAACAAAAUGAUAUCGUAGUGAAAUGCUCAUAAGAAUAUAUGUAAGCACCAUUUCCCCUGUUGGUAGUUAUACCCCAAACCUGGCCUCUCUUGUUUGUAUCCAUUAUGACAUUCUAAAAUGAAGUGUUGUUUGUAUUUAGUGAAUGCCCAUACGAAUUUUCCUGUUUGUGAGCUAUAAAAUUUUGAAUGACUAGAAUAAUAUAAGAGAAAAAUCACAAAAAAUGGGAUGAAUCCGUAUAAAGGAUUCAAAAUGUAUUAUAAACUUAAUUUUAUAACAAGCAAUUGUAAAUAAGUGAUAUCUAGAGAGAACGAAGAAAGAAACAGAAAGAAGUAGAAGUCAAAAAUAUAUUCAACAACAUUUAAAAUAAGAGGUAGAAAGCAAGUAAUACAAAAGAAAAAAAUUUCAAAACAUUGAUAAUUCAUGUUAUCAAGGCAUUUGACGAUCGGAAUACACAAUGUCAUUCAAGUAUACGUGUCACUUAAAGAUGUCGAAUUCUGACAUGUUUGCCUGUUAUGUCCAGAACCCCCACAUCGGCUACAUUUUCGUCUCAACGUCGACCUUUCAGUUCUUGACCGUUGAUGUUGCGUAGGAGGUCGACCUGGUGCUCUACGUAUAUUCGGGGGCAAAACUUCGACGGAACGAAUAGACUGAGGAACAAUCCAAUCUGACUCUCGGCCAACAGGGUGAAGAACUUCGUCGUACGCAGCUCACCAAUAUUCUGUGGUGUAGUAAGAGGAGUACAAAUCAUACAAUGAUUUUUCUUUUGGGCAAGCAGCUCGGGAUGCAUGUGAACAUGGGAUUUGUCUCAUCUGAAACUCUCGACAUGAACAUGUGUUACCUAUUAGGUCGACAGUACAAAGUUCGGUAGCUAUACCUACCUCAAAAACGAGUUCGUCCAAAUUUCGUACUGGUAAAGUUGCACCGGCAUCGAAUGAUUUUCUCAAUUCAUCAUCAAUUUUUGGUGUCACAAUCGUACUACAUUUCGUGGAUGCACUUUUUCUCUCGUACAACUAUCGUUGCAUCAAUGACGUAAUAUCUUCGAUCGACGAGGUUAUAGGGAAACUUCUUUGUCGCCUUAGGACUGAAUUCAGUGACUCCGCAAUGUUAUUCGUCGUAACGUUGUACCGAUUAUCAACAAAAUGUGCCUGUGACCAGGUGGAUAUACCGGCACGUUCCAAGUAAGAUGCCAUUGACGGUCGAAUGGUUCUUAUCUGUGUCAUGAACUGAUCAAAUUUCGAUACGUGGUAUGCUAGCGCUGCCCGCUUGAAUAAGAAGAUGACAUUGCUACUGCUAUACCUAGCAAUAAGAUUUUUCUCGAUAUGCUAGAUGCAGACACCGUGGUGAGAAAGUGGGAACAACCUUGUAAUUGUCCGCUUAAUACUCUUCUUCCUGUCCGACACAAACACUAGCUGGUUUGAAUCAUCAAUAACAUCUUUCAACUUUGCAAAGAACCAAUACCACGAUGCAUUUGUUUCCCCAUCGACAACACUCCACGCAAGAUGAUAUAUUUGUAGGUUAGCAUCUUGCGCUGCAGCUACUAGUAGUGUUCCCUUAUAUUGGCCCUUCAAAUGACUUCCAUCAACACAAAUUAUUGGCCUCAUGUAUUCUCGAAAACCACGUACACUAGGCCCGAACGCUAAGAAGAAGUACAAGAACCUAUUAUUCGAGUCGAGUUCAAUGUGUGCAAUAGUUCCAUGAUUUUUCUCGAUUAACAUGUGACAAUAUGAUGACAGUUUCUGGAAACUUUCUUCGGGUGUACCACGAAGAAAUCGAAGUCCCUUCUCUUUAGCCCUCCACACUUUGUUGUAGGUAAUCCGUACACCAAACUCACGUUCCAUAUCCCCAAUAAUACCUGCAGGAACGUGUGAUUGGUUUGCAUCAUCCAACCUUCGCAUUAUGUGAUGCCCAAUUACUGCACUCGUUGCGUGAAUUUGUGCAUUUCGUCAAACGUCUAGAGAACAUGUGUGCUCAGGUAUGUACUCUCGAAUCGUAAAUAUUUCUAAAGUUUUUAUUUUAGAAGCUCGUACUGCCAAUGGCAUGUAGUAUUGAUACAACACACAGUAAGAGAUCUAGGAUUCGACUUUUUAACUUUGAAAUAAAACUUCUCUUUCAAAGCCUUAAGUUGAAGCCUUGUGUGUAACUGUUGUUUGCUAAAUAAUAUCUGAUUCUCCACAAUGUCCUCUUCAUCAAUUAACUCAAUUGCAUUUCAAAUAAACAAAUUGCCUUUACCUAAAGUUUCAUCCAUAUUAUCAAUCGUUUGUGGCUCUUGUAGUUCGCACAUACCGACUGCAUCGCGUCCACAUAAUGCAUCUUCUAUUGGUAAUAAAGGCUCAACUCCGACAUGCAGUUCGUGCUCUCUAGCAUUAUAUUCAUCUGCAAUUACACACAACACCGCUUCUGUGUGAACAGACAUAAACCAUUACAAAUCCUUAUCGUCGGCUACAUUAGCAGGGGGUAUAUUCAUGUUCGGAACUGUAAAUUUCAAUUGAAUUCGGAACUUCAUUCUAUCAACAUUCAGCUUCUCGAAUAAUUUAUGUACAAGCUCUUCAUAUGUAAUAUCAUGUCGAACAACAAUUGAUGUUGUUCGGUUCCCUAACCACUUCCACCCGUCGUCUAUAUUGACGAAUCUACCACCAUACGAGACAACAAAUCUCUUAACAUCUCCCAUAUCUGCAUGUCAUAAACAAUAAUACUGUCAAUCACUAACAAAAAUCAAAAACGAAAAUACUACCUGCAUGCAAUAUGUGAAUCGCUAUACAUGAAAUUUUCCCAACUUACUCAAGUUUUUAAUGUUAUUGUCAACAUUUGACAGUGUCGAGAAUGAUGGUAUAAAUAUCAUUCUCGACAUUUAUAAAUGUCGCGAACGAUAUUUAUACUAUCAUUAUCGACAAUUAUAAAAUGUCGAGAAUGAAAUGACGGGAUUUCAUGCAUUUAUCAUCUUCUUCAACUUCAACCAUCAUUUUUGCAAAAAAUUAUUCCACCAUAAAUGAUAUUCUAAAUACAAAAGUAUAUUAUUUAACUAAGUUAUUUAAGAUGAAUGGUACAAAAAAUAUAUACUCAGGAUAAUUUCGUCCAUUGAAGGGAAAAAAUACAUUUUCAAAAAAUUGAGAUUUGAACAUAUAUAACAACAACUACUAAAUAAAACUUAUCAAAAAAAUGAGAGUUUGAAGAAAUAGAGUUCAAAGAAAUAUACUUUCUACCGACAAAUAAUGAAAGCUUAAUCAGCUUCAAAUUUCUACCAUAGUAAAUUUCUUAAAAUGAUUUCUUUGAAAUUGGAAUCAUAUACUUCUUCGUAUAUGUUAAUGGAAUUUUUGCUUCUUCUUCAUUUGUUCUAAAAUAAUUGAUUAAAAUAUAAUUGAAAAUGUAAGCAAGUGGACUCACCUAGGUAAUAGCAACAUUAUUGUGACUCUUCUUAAAAAUUGUGCCAAAGUGAUAUAAAAUUGAUUAAUCUUUUCAUGAGGGUAAAGUAGACAUUUUGAUCUAAAAAUUGGACAUUUUUGUAAGGAUUAUCAAAAAAGUACACUUUUCAACUCCAACCCUUAUAAUUGGACAUUCUUGAAAAUCCCUCUAAAGGUACAACAUACCAGUAUUAGUUAUAAAUUAUUAUAACAAAAAUAAUCUUAAUUCAAGGAUAAAUCAGGGUUUUAGAAAAUUAGUAAGGAGAUUACGGUCCAAAAAAGUUUUUCCAAUCUCCAUAUUUUUAGAGCACCUUCAAAGGACUCUUUAAUUUUUUUUCUUAAAAAAGAAGAAGAAGCAUAUUUUACAAUUUAUAGAGUAUCUCUAAAUUUAGAGUUUUUUAAAAUACUCCAACUACCUUAUUAUUUUUAACACUUAAUUUUAAUACUCAACUAGUAUGUAUUUAGGGGCGGAUUAGUCCCCCCAAAGCCCAAGAAAAUUAUUAUUAUUAUUAUUAUUUUAUUAUUAUUUUUUUUUUUGUAAAAAAGUUUUUUAUGGGUAAAUUUUUUUUUCUUGUAUUAACCUGGCUUGAAAUUUUAUAAUUCGGUCUUUGAUCCAAUUCUGGAUCCAUCCCUGUAUAUGUUUAUUAUUUUUUCAUACUUUUUAUUUUCAACAACUUUCCUUCAAAUUAUUAUAUUAUAUCCUUACACUUUCUAUCUAGUUGGUCAAUAUAUGAAGUGUAGAAGAUUGAAAUAUUUUGAAUGCAUUUAAUUAUAGAGAGUGUGUUUAGGGCGGACGCAGACAUUUGAAGUUAAGGGGCACAAUCAAACUUACAAAAAAGUUGUGAAGAAUUUUUCAUUGAAAAAUUUGUAUCCAAAUAAAUAUAGCGCAUGUAAUUUUACAUCCAAAAAUUUACAUGGGUAUGACUUAUUCGGAUGUAAAAUUUAAAAAAAAAAAUUUAAUGUUAUAUCCCAUGUAAAAAAUUUUAAUAAAAUGAUGUAAAUUAUAUUGAAAUUUUUUAUCGCAAAAAAAAAUAAUAAUUGAAAAUUCUUAAAGAAAAUACGAGUUAUACGUCUCUUUUUAAGAAGCACAUUUGACACAUCUUUAACUAUUUUUUAUAUUUUCUUGGAUAAUUCAGCAUGCCUACGAUGUAGUUCUUGAAAUGAGCUUCGAGAUGACGUAGACGCUUUGUGAAUUCGACUAGCCUACGAUCAUUGGCAGAAUUUUUAAAGUUAGCAUGUUAUCGAAAUUCUUGAAAUAAUAGUUUGAAAUGAUCUAUUUUGACAAGCUGUAACAUUUGCUACGGUUGACCGUUUCAAGCGCCAUUAACAAAAGCAUAAAAAUUUGGCAAAAAGAAAAAAGAAAAAAAAAAUCAAAGUUGGGAGGUCACGUGACCCCCCAUGCCCACCCCUGUGUCCGCCCCUAAGUGUGUUUGACUCUUCAAUUUUAGAUAAUCAAACACACUUUCUAUUUUAAAAUGUUAAUUUGGAAAGUCUUUUUGAGCAUAAUUUUAAAGGUUAACUCUUUAAAUUAUAGAGUACUUUUUAAAGAGUUUCUUGGUUGUACACAAUGUUUGGAGUGUGAGAAAUAUUAUGUGAGAGUAACAAUUUUUGAAUGUGAAACUCUUUUGGCUUUUACUAUGAUUUGUCUCCUAUUUUGAAGUUUUCAACGUAAACUCUUGCAUUCAUUUUAUUAUUGUUGUUGUUGUUGUUGUUGACCCCAAUAAAUGUUGCCAACAGAUACCGGACCCAUCCGCGCACACGUAAGCGCAAGUCCAACACACAAAGACACGUGGACGGUCUAAAAUGGACAGAUCAAGGGCAUGGGAGUAGCUCAACGACGUGGGACAAGAACGUUCGGGAUCCGACGAGAUGAUCGCAGACCGAUUGUACAAUAAAUACCAAUCGAUGUUUGUAAAUGUGUAUCUAAAUAUGUAUGAACUCGUUUGUGUUGCAAGAUAAUAAGAAAGUGAGAGUUGAGUAAAGUAUGGUUUCUUGUAUUGAUUCUUGCAUUAGCCUUUGUAUGGAGUACAUGGGGGAGUAUUUAUAGUGUUACAAGUUAGAUCGUAACCUUUGGUUCGGAGUACAUGUGGCCUCAUUCGGUUAAUUUACAUGUCAAAUUGUAGGCAUCAGCCGCAACUAGCCUGCUAUACAUUUAUUGAUUGGCAGAGCCGCCUCUACUAGUUACAAGACAUAACAUUUACACUCAUGACAAACAUCCUAUCAGUCAUUCUAGUAAGAUCUUUGUGCAGAGGAUCUCUUGGGAGAAGUGUCUAUGGAAGAUGCUGCUUUGUUAUUCGGAGGCUUCUACCUCGGCUACAGAGCUUUGGCCAACAGGGCCUCGUCCACCUUCAAAGGGCCUCAACAUAUGGGCUUCGGAAGCUCCUUAAGAGGCAAUGAUAGAUGGGCCGAGGCUUCUGUGGGUCUCGAUUUGUGGGCCUUGGCUAUACAAAUCACCUCGACUUAAGUGCCACAUGGUUCGGCAUGAGUUGGCUAUGAGCUUCAGUGGGUUGCCCAAACGUGCAAACACGUAACAAUAGUCCCCCAAAUCCAAGUAUAGUCAUUUAUGUAAUGCGAGGACUUUGAUGAAGUAAAGCCAGCCAGUUAAGUUGAAAUUUUUUUUGAAAUUUUUGUACCCCAAAUAAUAGUCCCUCAAGUCCAAGUAUAGAUAUUUAUAUCAUGGUUGGAGUUAGAAAUGUGCAGUUGUGGAAGAAUGAUAAAGUUGAGGUAGUUUGAGAAAUCGAACCUGCGAGGCUUGAUGGCUGAAUUGUGAAAGAAUGAGGAAGCCGAGGUGUUUGGGAAACCGAACCUGCGAGGCUUGAUGGCUGAAUUGUGAAAGAAUGAGGAAGUCGAGGUGUUUGGGAAACCGAACCUGCGAGGCUUCAUGGCUGAAAUCUGAGGCACAUUGACAAUAAUUGGUCCUCGUCAGUUGUGCCAAAGAUUUGAUAUUUUGCGCAUAUUUUCGAGGAAAGGUGGCUGAAUCGUUACAACUUCCAAGGCGUCUGCGGCCGUCGAAUUAAAAUCGUAAUCAUGAAAACAGCUGGAGCUUCUAGAAGUAGACGCAUUGCGGGAGGUGCGUGGGAGAUACGCUUAAAUCUGAGGUGUAGGUUUGAAAAAUCGUUUGAAUUCUACGUCUCGAAUUUGAUUUAGAAUGAAGGGUCCAGAUUAGAUGGGCUUUGAUCAGAAGGUUAGGGUUCGUCCCGGCCCUUUAUAAAAGGCGAGAGACACCCAUUUUUCUGGAUUUUCUACCUUUGCAAUCUGAUUUUUCUUCCAAAGCUUAAGUUUUCCGGCGUUGAAGCUGUUUGUUCCCUAGUUUUCCAGCACCAUUCCGUUGGCGUAGUUAUUCCCACAGGUAUUUUCACAGAAAAUCCCUUGUAUUGCGUUCUUAGUCCUUUUCUGAAAUGGAGUCCACCUCGGGUAGGGAGUUGGUCACUGACGCGUCAUUCGGUCAGGGGGCUAGUUACAGGGAGGACUCCAAGGUUGAGCAGUAUGCUAUGACCGAGGAGGUAGUAGACAACAGUGUAGAGUGGGGGGAGUCUAGAGUCCCUUCGAAUAUGAUAGGAAAGAGGCUGGGGGAGAUUAGGGAGAGGUAAUGUGUACCUCAUUAUGUAGAAAUGUUAGUACCCGAGGCCCAUGAGCGAGCCUGCUAUCCGAGACAUGGAUGCGUGGCAGUGAGCGAGUACCUGUUUAAGGCAUGUAUGCGUUUUCCUCUACACCCCUUCUUCAGGGCGAUGCUGAGGAACUUUAUAUUGUCACCGACCCAGGUUCUGCCAAAUGGGUGGAGCCAGUUUGUUGGCUCAUACUUCCUAUGGAAGGAAGUGUCACUUGGGGAGGACAUGCCUCUCCACGUCUUCAUGACCCUAUUCCAGCCUAGGGUAAUAGGUAAGGAGUCAAGGGGGUGGUAUUACUUAACUCCUUGGGGGGCUCGUGCACCAUUUGUAGUGGGGCUGCCUUCUUCCAUUAAGGGGUGGAAGGAGUCGUGGUUCUGGGUGAGGGGCAGAUGGCAGGCGGUGGAGGGAGACAUAGCCUUGGCUUGCACAGUACCGACCCAGUACUACGAAGCUUGUGAGUCUCCCAGCGUAAGUAGUUUGCAUUAUGUAUUCAAAUUUCUUUUUCUAACUAUUGAGACUUCCUUUACAGAUAGUAGUACAAGGUUCGAGUUGAGCAAGGCGGAGUUUGAAGUGAUAGAGGACAUUUACAAGUGACCUUUCAAGUUUCGCCACUUCGACCACCUCAUCGACCGAAGUCGCUACUUCCUUGAUUUUGAACUAAUGGCCUCCAAGGGUAAGAAGCUCCUAUACUUCUUGCUUUUUGUUUUGAUGCUGAUGCAUUGACAUGUUCUGUAGAUAAGUUCAAGAAGAAGGAAUACCCAGCCCCUGACAUGGCCUCUAUACUUAGGGCCACAUCCACUGGAAGACGAGGUCCCUAAAGCCGAGGUCAACUGGCGCCAAAGAGGUGCGGGACAGGGUUGAGUGCCUCUCCAAGGACAUCAGUUCAAGGGCUCUCGAGGAGGGGACUCCUCAGAGGCCGGAAAAGGCCAAAGAGCCUCGGGGCAAGGAGAAGGUCCCCGAGGAGCAGAAGAAGAGGAAGUUGGUGCACGUCAGCAGCUUGUUAGGAAGUUCGGGACCUCUGUGUCCCAUGAAGGCAAAGAAGUCCCUCAGCCGAAUCUCCUUGCAGCCGCCUCGAAAGCGGUAAAGAUUGAAAUGGUUCGACGAGCCAAAGCUGAAGAGGCUAAAGAAGAGGCCAUGAGGAGGGCAGCUAAAGUGACAGAGGGCGAGGCCGCCAAGUAGAGGCCUGCGAGGGUGCAAGGGAAGUCUCCGAGCUUCCUUGCCGGAAGGGAGUAGGUUCUGGCUCUAGCUUUGGUGGAGGCUCUACCACCUGAGAUCCGAAGUGCCACAGAAAGCUUCUACAAAUUUUGGACGGAUCGGUUGCAGUUGCAUGCCUCCUCAUGUGACGCCACGGACUUGACAAGGGCCCUCGUGAGCCAAAGUGUGAGAUCCUUUGGCCUCGCACUGGAGUGCAGGGAGGCCCUUACUGACUUUCAAACGAGGGCCCAGUCCUCGGAGAAGAAGAUGGCCUCUCUUACAGAGGAGCUGAAGGGAGCUAGAGCCGAGGCAGAAGAAGUGAGGGCCCAAAAAUUUGAAGAUGCGGCCAAGCUGGAGUCUGCCUUGUCUCAAAUCGAGGCGUUGAAGAAGGAGGUAUAUGAGUCCUAGUGCGAGAUGGCCUCCUUGACUAAGAAAGUGGAGGUUUCCAAUGACCACCAGAAGGUGAUUGCCAAAGCCUUGGAGAAGGCAAACUUGGAGCUAGCUGGGGCCCAAGAUGAGUACAAGUUCUUGGAGGGCCAGAUAAAGUGGUAUGUUGAUGAAGCGGCCAAGGCAAAUGAGGAGGCCAAUGUGGCGAGGGAGGAGGCGGUGAAAGACUACAUUGCCAACUUCCAUAAUAUCGAGGAGUAUAAGAGUUUCAGCACUUACUGGAGAAAUUAUGCUUAUGCCGAGAUGAUGGAGAGGGCUGAGGAAAUCUACCCAAAUCAAGACCUGUCACAGCUGAGGUCAGAGUUUUUGGAUGAGGUGCCUCAAACCCCAACUUAUGAAGCGGUUGGAGAUGAAGUAGUAGAGCUAUAAGAAGGAAGUUAUGAUGCUCAGGUUGCGGAGGCCCUGGCUGCCGAGUCACCUCCAUCAUUGUCCUAGGCUUAGGAUAGUUUUCUUUCAGUUAUUUUUUAUGUACUUGCCUCAGGCCCCCCUUUUGUAAUCUUGAUUGAAAAUCAAUAUAAUAUCUUCUUUCAUUCAAUGUUUUUUCUCCUAAGUGCAUUGGCCUCGUCAAGAAAUUGAACUUAAUGUUGAUUGAAGAACUAAAUAACUUUAAUUUGGUAUCCUAACUCCAAUCACUUGAGCAAGUAAAUUGUAUGCAAGCCUCACGAGCCAUGACCAAUAUUGGACUUAAGCAAAUGAAUUGUACUUAAGCUUAAUAACGAUAACCUGAAUGGAUCCUGACUGGACCGUGUUUCAGUCGAACUGGGAAUAUUGCUUUCUGAUUCGAAAGGUAGUUGGAUGAAGCUAGUAGUGGUUGAGUGUUGUGAAUAAAUGGGUAUAAAAGUCUGUUUUGUUAAGGCCUCCCAGAGUCUCAGAGUUCAAACGAGGUGGCCCAGAGAUGGGAUGCUGGCCUCUCCUUUGAGGUGAGGACGCUUUCCGACAUGGUGGAUGGUUUAGCCAUGCUGAGACUUCUCCCAGUGGCGUUCAGCCUCGCCAAAGGGAGGCAAGUGCAUACGCCUCGGAGUUCAAACUAGGUGGCCCAGAGAUGGGACGCUGGCCUCUCCUCCGAGGUGACGAUGCUUCCCAACAUGGUGGAUGGUUCGGCCAUGCUGAGGCUUCUCCCAGUGGCAUUCAGCCUCGCCAAAGGGAGGCGAGUGCAUGCGCCUCGAAGUUCAACGAGGUGGCCUAGAGAUGGGACGCUGCCCUGUCCUUCGAGGUGACGAUGUAAUGCGACACAUGAAUUCAAUCAUGGAUAAUUUUACUGAAUCAUGGAAAUGUUACAUAAACUGGGAAAGAUCGUCCAGCGAUGUAGUACAUUCAUUGAUAAUAUAUUCGAAGGUGCUCAAUGUUCCAUGGACAAGGUUGUGCCUUGCCAUCCAUGUCUUCAAUCCAGUAAGUUCCGGGUCGGAUCUCCUCUCUGAUUUUAUAUGGACCUUCCCAGUUCGGGCCCAGGGAACCGGUGCCAGGUUCCUUUGAGGAGAAGAAGACUUUCCUAAGGAACAGAUCGUUGAUUCGAAAUGACCUCUUCUUUGCCUUUGAGUUGAAGUACUUCGUCAUCUUUCUUUGAUAUGUGUCGAGCUUCAGUUGGACGUCAUCUCUCCUUUCCUCAAUAAAGUCGAGGUCCCAUCUGCGAAGCUCGUCAUUUGUUAUCUCAUUGAAAUGCAGACGUCGUAGAGAUGAGAGUCCGACUUCGACGGGGCUCAUCGCCUCAGUCCCAUAUGCCAUGAGGAAAGGUGUUUCCCCUAUUGGGGUCCUCGCAGUGGUUCGGAUUACCUAAAGAACCUAUGGCAGCUCAUCCACGCAAGCCCCUUUUGACACAUUAAACUUCCUUUUCAGGACGUGCUUGAUUGUCUUGUUCACAGCCUCAACCUGGCCAUUUGCUUGUGGGUGGUGAGGCGUGGAGAAGUGCUUCUUGAUGCCAAAUUCUUCACACAAACUUCUGACCUUGUUGUUGUCGAACUGUCUACCAUUAUCUGAGACGAUCGAAUAGGAAAUCUCGAAUCGGCAUAUGAUAUUCUUCCACAAGAACUUGGAAGUGUUGGCUUCUAUAAUUUUUGCAAGGGAUUCAGCUUCGACCCACUUCGUGAAGCAAUCAAUGGCUACAAUUGCGAAGCUCGCACAUCCUCUGCCUUUUGGUAAAGGACCUAUGAGGUCCACACCCCACUUCGAGAAAGGCCAAGGGCUGGAGACCGCGGUCAAAUCUUGCAAUGGUUUUCUUUGAAUAAGAGACAAUCGUUGGCAUUUGUUACAUUUUCGUACAAACUCGAGGGCGUCCCUUUCCAAGGUAGGCCAGUAGUACCCCUGCCUCAGUAUUUUCGGUGCCAAAGAUAGACCUCCAGAGUGGUUGUCGCACACACCCUCAUGGACUUCUCUUAAUAUAUAGGUAGCCUCUUCUCCUCCGACGCAUCGUAAGAGUGGAGAGGAGAAGCUCCUCUUAUAGAGUACAUCAUCAAUGAAGAGAAAAUGGGCUGACAUUCUCCUUAGCUUGUAGGCCUCAUGGUUGUUAGUAGGAAGUACCUGGUCCUUGAGGUAUGCCACGAUGGGCUGCAUCUAGGUAGGAAUCCCAGCGAUCCACAUAACAUUGGAAGCCUUGGUUGACGGCAUGAGGAGGUGCUCUAUAGGGACAACUAUGAGUAGUUCGGAAUCUUUGCUACUUUCAAGUUUGGAGAGUGCAUCUGCAUGUGCAUUUUCGAUGUGGGGAUCUGGAUCAACUCAAACUUUUCAAAGGAUAGGAUGAAGUUCAUCACCAUUUUCAAGUAAGAGGCCAUUCUUUUGUCCUUGGCUGAGAAGUUACCAUCGACCUGGCUAACGACCAGCUGGGAGUCACUACUGAUGAGUAGCCUCUUUACUUGCAUUUCUCUUGCUAACCUGAGGCCUGCAAGAAGUGCCUCGUAUUCUGCUAUAUUGUUGGUGGCCUUGAACCCGAACCUUACCGUCGAGUUCAGCUUGUGACCUUCCAGGCUGAUGAGGACAACUCUGGCACCUGAGCCGGCAUCCCCAGCCGACCCAUCAAUGAAUAAGUUCCACGUAGGGGGCUCGGCUUGUUCCAUGAUUUCAUCUACCUUGGGUAAGUUGGCGAAUUUUGCCAUAAAGUCAGCUAAGGCUUGGCCCUUGAUGGAUGCCCUAGCCUUGAACAUGAGGUCAAAUUCACUUAGCUCCACCACCCAUUUUAAUAAUCUUCCUAAGGCAUCGGGCUUUGGAGUACCUGCCUUAGGGAAAAGUUUGUCAGCACAUGGAUGGUGUGGGCUUGAAAGUGGGGUCUCAACUUCUUGGAGGCCGUGAUCAAGGCCAAAACAAGCUUCUGCAUAUCGGGGUAGCGGGUUUCCAGCGAUAGGAGUGCUUUACUUGUAUAGUAAAUAAGGAGUUGGGUGGUCCUCUCUUCUCGGAUUAGAACUGCACUAAUGGCCUUAUUGGAGACGACUAGAUACAGUUGUAGAAUUUCAUCGGGCUUCGAUUUGGAGAGGAGGGGGCCUGCCCUAGGGGCCUUUUCAGGCUUUGGAAGGCCUCUUCACAUUCCUCAUUCCAUUGGAACUUCUUCCCAGAUUUUAGCACUUUGAAAAAUGGGAGGCAUUUGUCUGUAGCUUUAGAGAUGAAGUGGCUAAGCGAGGCCAAUCGUCCAGUCAAGCUUUACACCUCCUUUGGUUUUUGGGGGGACCUCAUCUUGCAUAUGGCCUCUAUCUUCUCAAGUUUGGCUUCGAUACCGCGUUGGUUAACCAUGUAUCCUAAGAAUUUGUCGAAGGCCACUCCGAAGGCGCACUUGAGGGGGUUGAGCCUCAUCCUAUAUCUUCUCAAGAUUUGGAAGGUGCUGUUAAGGUGCGUUAUGUAGUCCUCAGCUUCCAAACUCUUUACUAGCAUGUCGUCUACGUAGACCUCCAUUGUCUUGCCAAUGAGGUCCACAAACAUUUUGUUGACGAGCCUUUGAUAUGUUACUUCGACAUUUUUCAACCCGAAGGGCAUCAUCUUGUAGCAGUAAAGGCAUCGGUCUGUGAUGAAAGAUGUGUGUUCCUCAUCGGCCGGGUGCAUGGGAAUCUGGUUGGGGCCAGAGAAUACAUCCAUGAAGCUCAAUAACUCGUGCACAGCCGUGGAGUCUACCAGUUGGUCAAUCCUUGGAAGUGGAAAGCUGUCCUUUGGGCAAGCUCUGUUGAGGUUAGUGAAAUCGAUGCACACUCUCCACUUGCCGUUGUGUUUCUUCACUAAAACUAGAUUGGAGACCCACCUCGGAUAGGUGGCUUCCAUGAUGAAACCAUUUUGGAUGAGCUUCUAAACUUCUUUCUUCAGGGCCUCGUACCUCUCAGGAUUGAGGGCUCUCAUUUUUUAUCUAUGCAGGGCAACCUUAGGAUCAAUUUUCAGGUGGUGGCAACUGAACUUGGGGUCUAUGUCUACCAUGUCCUCAUACCUCUAAGCAAAGAUAUCAAGGUUCCUACUUAGGAAAUCCUUGAGCUUUUCUUUCAAAGUGCUGGACAAGCCUUGCCCACCUUCAACAAUUUGGAUGGGUCUCGGGGGUCCACCGAGAAGCUCUUAAGUUCCUCAACUGGGGAUGCUUGAGUUUCGUGUUCAAUUAUGCGGGGAUCAAUCUCAUCGAUGACCAAUACUUCCGGAUUGGGUGGUGCAUCAAUCAUUUCGACAUCUUCCAGUUCGACGGGAACAUCACUUGGGACAUUAGCCAUGACUAUGUCGGCGAUAAUCACAUGGACGUCCCGGGGCUCUACCUUUUUGAUGGAGCUUAGAUAACACUCUUUCGAGCCUCUUUGGUCGCCUCUCACCGUUGCCACCCCAUUUUUCGUGGGGAAUUUCAUGCAUAGGUGGUGAAUGGAGGUGACUGCUCCCAAUUCCUUUAGAGCUAGCCUACCCAAUACUCCGUGGUAGGCCGAUCGACUGUCGACAACGAGGAAUUCCAUAAAGUUCAUUGUGGUUUGGGGAGACUCUCCCAUCUCUACUACGAGUGUGAUUUUUUCUCUCGGAGUGAUGCUAUCUCCGGUAAAUUUGUACAAAGGAGUGGUGGUGGAUGUUAACUCAUGGUCCAGUAUCAUCUUGUCAAAGGUGGAUCUGAAUAGGAUGUUGACGGAGCUACCAUUGUCAACUAACAUUCGUUUGAGCCCAUUCCGAGCUAUAACUGCUCUUACCACAAGUGCAUCGCCGUGGGGGUAGUGAACUCCUUCGGCAUCUUCCUGGGUGAAAACAAUUGGUGGAACUUGAUUUUUCCGGGAGCUAUUGUCCACAAUGUAGAUUGUCAGAGGGGGGUGUUUUGCCUCCCGAGCAUAAUUCAUUUUGGCGUUUCGCGCCGCCAACAUACGGGCCUCCAAAUAUGGUAUCCACCUCAUGGAUAGGGGCCUCAUCCUGAGCUUACUGAUUUCUUCGGUGUCUGUACCCUUCCCUGGGCCUCUCUACAUCAUGCUCCCUUCAUCGCGGAGAAACAUCCCUUUGACGAGGUGCUCUUCACGUCCAGGUCUGUUAUUGUGCCUAGGUGGGGGCCUAUUCGCCUGGGGAGAUUCAUUUCUAUCCCUAGGGGGUUCCUGCCGGGAGCGAUGAGCAUAGUUUCGACAAUCUGCUGUGUCGUGUCCAUAGGACCGGUGGUAUACACAGUAUCCAGGUAGGUUCUGAUUUGACCUAUUUCUAGGUCCCGAACCCCUGCCUCGGCCUCUCUCCCUACGGGAUCCUUGCAGAGUUCCCAUCUACUAGAAGUUAAUGACUGGGUUGAUAUCCUCAUAUGCCAAUGUAGGAACGACAUUAAGAGUGGUGGUGGUAAGUGCUUGGCCAGAACUCUCAUUAUCAGCUUGGUUCAUUUGGUAGUCCAUUAAGUGGGAGGUCGGCCCUCUAGCACACUACCUUUGAGGAGGUGGGAGACAUCUAUUUGCCCUGUUCCUACGCUCAAUCAAUUCUUCAUUGAAGAUCUCCCAUCUCAUCAUCUCUAGUAGGGCAUCAUAGGUGGUGGGGUCUUGAUUUUGCAUGUCACCCCAGAACAGGGUGUUCAUGUUCAGACCUCUUCUCAAUGUAGAUAACGCCUCACGGUCGGUGACUUGCACACAAUAUGUCAUCUCAUUGGUGAAACGUGAUAGGAAGCUCUUUAGGGACUCUCCAUGUGCCUGUCUCAUGUCUUGGAGACGUUGGAUGGGGGCCUCUCCCUUUUUGCUUACAGCGAACCUCUUCAAGAAAGUCGUCUUGAAUUCGGGCCAAUUUCUUAUGCUCCCAUGUGGUAACCUACUAUACUAAAUUUCAGCUACUCUGCUAAGUGUUAAGUGGAAAGCUCUACAUUUCACAGCUGGGGUGGCACCCUUAGGCUCAUGUAAGUUUUGUAAACAUUCAGGUGCUUCUAUGGGUCGCCUCUUCUGUCAUACUUUGAUAUCUUUGGCAAAACAUAGUGGUUCGGGACCUGGGCGCUCCUUAGUUCCCUUGGGAAUGGCAGGUUUUCAUCAUCAUCGUCCAAGUCAUAGGACCUCUGUUGCUCAUCUGAAUCAUUUUCAUCGGCCUCAUACCUUGGUUGUUGGUGAGAGGUUCCGGGACGGUUCCUAGCCUCUUCCUCCAUCCUUUGGCGCCUAUUUCUAGGCGGGGCAGCACCGGGGGCAUUUUCGUGCCUUUCUUCCGGCUGUUGAGGCAUUGGAGGUGGAGGCGAUGACCUUAUCCAAGGCUCGUGAUGUUGUUAUUGUCUGAGCCUCGGUUCAGCGGGGCUAAUUCUGUCAAAUACACUGCCUGACCUCCUAUGUCUUUGCUCUUGCUCAUACGGAGGUGGGAAGUUAUCAUGGUUCAAAGGGACCUCGGUGGGUCGGCUAGAAGCAUAGUUGGAGGAAACAUCAACCUUCACCUUCCUUUCAAAUGGGCUUUUACCUCGGCUAUAGUCCGACGAGGUAGCCCUACGACUUUGAACUUCAUCUUCUUGCUGGUAGUGCCCUUGAGCGUAUGAAGGAAUAGGGAAGCCUCCCUGACCCUGCAUUUGGGUGAUGAGUUCCCUCAUAGCCAUGUUUUGGCUAGCAAUGUCCCUCAUAUUAGCUACCAUGGCGACCAUUUCAACUGACGUCGGGCCGUCCCACGCAUUCCACCUCUUCUAUGGUUGUGGUGGAGUCUAUGCCGAGCUGCUGGGACAGCUGCUGGAGGGGGCACAUCAGCAUUUUCUCUUACCCUCAUGGGGGGUGUAUCUUCGUUUGAGCUCAUUUUAUUUGCGUCUUACCCUUCAGAUUUUUGCUAAGUCGGGGGGCUGCCUUUUGUUCUUUUUCAAGAACAAAUCCUUUUUCAAGGGGGAUGCCCAAAUGCUCCUCUUUAAUAAGCUUUUACCACAAGGUUGUUCGUGGUUAUGGUAUGGCUUCCCAUAGACGACACCAAUCUGUUGACCCCAAUAAAUGUUGCUAACAGAUACUAGACCCACCCGCGCACACCUAAGCAAAAGUCCAACACACAAAGACAUGUGGACGGUCUAAAACGGACAGAUCAAGGGUGUGGGAGUAGCUCAACGACGCGGGACGAGAACGUUCGGGAUUCGACGAGAUUAUCGUAGACCGAUUGUACAAUAAUUACCAAUCAAUGUUUGUGAAUGUGUAUCUAAAUAUGUAUGAACUCGUUUGUGUUGCAAGAUAAUAAGAAAGAGAGAGUUGAGUAAAGUAUGAUUUCUUGUAUUGAUUCUUGCAUUAACCUUUGUAUGGGGUAUAUAGGGGAGUAUUUAUAGUGUCACAAGUUAGAUCGUGACCUUUGGUUCGGGGUACACGUGGCCUCAUCAGGUUAAUUUACAUGUCAAAUUGUAGGCAUCAGCCGCACCUAGUCUGCUAUACAUUUAUUGAUUGGCAGAGUUGCCUCUACUAGUGACAAGACUUAGCAUUUACACUCAUGACAAACGUCCUAUCAAUCAUUCUAGUAAGAUCUUUGUGCAGAGAAUCUCUUGGGAGAUGUGUUUAUGGAAGAUGCUGCUUUGUGAUUCGGAGGCUUCUACCUCGGCUACAGAGCUUAGGCCAACAGGGCCUCGUUCACCUUCAAAGGGCCUCGGCAUAUGGGCUUCGAAAGCUCCUCAAGAGGCAAUGAUAGAUGGGCCUCGGUAUAUAUGGGCUAAGGCUUCUGUGGGCCUCGAUUUGUGGGCCUCCGCUAUGCAAAUCACCUCGGCUUGAGUGUCACGUGGUUCGACAUGAGUUGACUGUGAGCCCCGGUGGGUUGCCCAAGUGAGCAAACACGUAACAAUAAUAAUAAUAAUUAUUAUUAUUAUUAUUAUUAUUAUUAUUAUUAUUAUUGUUAUUAUUAUUAUUAUUAUUAUUAUUAUUAUUAUUAUUAUUAUUAUUAUUAUUCCCUAUUUAUAUUUAAGGGGGAUCUUGUGAAGUAUUCUUGGUAUUGGAGCAUCAAGUUCCUUGGCUGGUAGCUUAAAUAUCGAGGGUUAAGUUCGAAUAUGGAAGACAAUUAAUUAGGACCAAUGUUGCCAUUGGAUGAAGCUGCAUGCACCUAUCUAGCUAACUUCCUACCACCCACUGUCAAAGUUGGAAUUGCAUCUUCCUAACUGACACAGAUAUCCCUUUAUAUUAGCUGGAUUCAUUGUCACAAUUCUUUUUAGGUCGGUAAUUCACUAGAAUCGUAUAUAUUCUCAAGUAAUGCUUUUCUGUUUUAUCAGAUCACGACCUCUUAAUCCAUGGCCUGAUAUCUGUCAAUUACCUUUGUGUUUAUAACUUUUAAUUUCUUAUUGGCUCAUCACACUUUUUAUUUGUUUUCAAAAAUCACAUGCAUGCUUGAUUUUUCUGAAUAUUACAUAUUUCCUCCGUCAGCUUGCUGUGUUCUAGAAAGCUUUUAUAUGCGCGUGCACUUGAUGCGGUAAAGCUUCUCUCCCUCUCUCUCUCCCUCUCCCUAUAUAUAUAUAUAUAUGUAUGUAUGUAUGUAUGUAUGUAUGUGUGUGUGUGUGUGUGUGUGUAUACACACACAAGAACAAUAGGCUGAUUAUCAUAUCGAUCACAUCGAGCUUCGUUCAAUUAUAUGUCUACUAGCUAGUACUCAUUCUAAUUUUCUGAGAUUUUGUGUGACAUCAAUCAAAAUGGUUCAUAAUAACAGUCCACACUAUUAAGGAGAUCCUUCAACCAUAAAUAAGGAACAUUGUCAUCUUCUUCUUCCACUUUAUAGUUUCUUUCUUGAAUAGCAAAAAACCAUAUAAGAUUUUCUUGAUUUUAUGGUCACUAAAUACGUAAGGAUUAAAAGCUGAUGUAUAUCAAGAAAGCACGCUCCAGUAUUCUGAUACCCUAUUUUUGUUUUUUUAACAGGAUAAAUAUGGGCAGAAUUUUUCAAUUUCAGCCAAAGCUCUAAACAUAGUUUGGGGAAGAGACAGUCGCUACUGGAAAAUACCGGACAAAUCGUGAGUUUCCAGCUCUUCCAUUUUCAGAUUAUUUACCUUAAAGCUAAUAUCAUACAAUUUACUGUCGUUCUAAUCUGGAAAAAAAAUUCUACUGCACAAGGGUAUGCCUGUGGAACUGUUGCAAGUAUCCUGGGUUGAGGUGAGUGCUUCUGUUGAUGGGAGGAAUUCUCAAAAGAACUACGAAGUAGGCUUCAGCGCGUUGUUAAAGGCCGAUGCAUUUGGUUGAAACAAGUAUCCUGUCUAUUUAUGAUGAAGAGAGGGAAGGAAGGUGAAUUUACUUCGAGAAAAGUCUUUUUGAACUCUACUAAUGCUAAUGAAAAACAAAGAUUUGACACAUCAGGGAAGUUGAUGAAGUCAGAUUCAACUGAUCCAAAAAAUUAUUUUGGUUUAUAUGAAGUAUGGAGUGGGAAGUGGAAAGG
Molecule: long non-coding RNA, 30593 nt
Filed under: Olea europaea (common olive)
Lineage: Eukaryota; Viridiplantae; Streptophyta; Magnoliopsida; Lamiales; Oleaceae
Description: long non-coding RNA (OEUR_LNC009264)
Source: RNAcentral